UGGCCAGACUCCUACGGGAGGCAGCAGUGGGGAAUAUUGCACAAUGGGGGAAACCCUGAUGCAGCGACGCCGCGUGAGUGAAGAAGUAUCUCGGUAUGUAAACCUCUAUCAGCAGGAAAGAUAGUGACGGUACCUGACUAAGAAGCCCCGGCUAACUACGUGCCAGCAGCCGCGGUAAUACGUAGGGGGCAAGCGUUAUCCGGAAUUACUGGGUGUAAAGGGAGCGUAGACGGUGAUGCAAGUCUGGAGUGAAAGGCGGGGGCCCAACCCCCGGACUGCUCUGGAAACUGUGUAACUUGAGUGCAGGAGAGGUAAGCGGAAUUCCUAGUGUAGCGGUGAAAUGCGUAGAUAUUAGGAGGAACACCAGUGGCGAAGGCGGCUUACUGGACUGUAACUGACGUUGAGGCUCGAAAGCGUGGGGAGCAAACAGGAUUAGAUACCCUUGUAU
RNAcentral lists this ribosomal RNA (448 nucleotides) under uncultured bacterium. RNAcentral's name for it is "bacterial SSU rRNA". It matches the Rfam family "Bacterial small subunit ribosomal RNA", at positions 328 to 793 of the family's 1533-position model. The record is from RNAcentral.